This 427-nucleotide ribosomal RNA is filed under the name uncultured bacterium. Its description in RNAcentral is "bacterial SSU rRNA". It matches the Rfam family "Bacterial small subunit ribosomal RNA", at positions 355 to 774 of the family's 1533-position model. The record is from RNAcentral.
UGGGGAAUUUUGGACAAUGGACGCAAGUCUGAUCCAGCCAUUCCGCGUGCAGGACGAAGGCCUUCGGGUUGUAAACUGCUUUUGUACAGAACGAAAAGGUUUCUACUAAUACUAGAAGCUCAUGACGGUACUGUAAGAAUAAGCACCGGCUAACUACGUGCCAGCAGCCGCGGUAAUACGUAGGGUGCAAGCGUUAAUCGGAAUUACUGGGCGUAAAGCGUGCGCAGGCGGUUAUGUAAGACAGAUGUGAAAUCCCCGGGCUUAACCUGGGAACUGCAUUUGUGACUGCAUGGCUAGAGUGCGGCAGAGGGGGAUGGAAUUCCGCGUGUAGCAGUGAAAUGCGUAGAUAUGCGGAGGAACACCGAUGGCGAAGGCAAUCCCCUGGGCCUGCACUGACGCUCAUGCACGAAAGCGUGGGGAGCAAACA